This 85-nucleotide transfer RNA is filed under the name Myxococcales bacterium. RNAcentral describes it as "tRNA-Leu". It matches the Rfam family "tRNA". Rfam says of the family: Transfer RNA (tRNA) molecules are approximately 80 nucleotides in length. Their secondary structure includes four short double-helical elements and three loops (D, anti-codon, and T loops). Lineage: Bacteria; Pseudomonadati; Myxococcota; Myxococcia; Myxococcales. The record is from RNAcentral.
GCGAGAAUGGCGGAACUGGUAGACGCGCCGGAUUUAGGAUCCGGUGGGGUUUCCCGUGGGGGUUCGAGUCCCCCUUCUCGCACCC